RNAcentral lists this transfer RNA (73 nucleotides) under Cavia porcellus (domestic guinea pig). It matches the Rfam family "tRNA". From Rfam's summary of the family: Transfer RNA (tRNA) molecules are approximately 80 nucleotides in length. Their secondary structure includes four short double-helical elements and three loops (D, anti-codon, and T loops). Further hydrogen bonds mediate the characteristic L-shaped molecular structure. tRNAs have two regions of fundamental functional importance: the anti-codon, which is responsible for specific mRNA codon recognition, and the 3' end, to which the tRNAs corresponding amino acid is attached (by aminoacyl-tRNA synthetases). tRNAs cope with the degeneracy of the genetic code in two manners: having more than one tRNA (with a specific anti-codon) for a particular amino acid; and 'wobble' base-pairing, i.e. permitting non-standard base-pairing at the 3rd anti-codon position. The record is from Rfam by way of RNAcentral. Lineage: Eukaryota; Metazoa; Chordata; Mammalia; Rodentia; Caviidae.
GGGGGUUUAGCUCAGUGGCAUAAGCACCUGCCUUGAAAGCAGGCAGUCGUGAGUUCGAUCCCCGUUACCGAUA